RNAcentral lists this long non-coding RNA (3021 nucleotides) under Homo sapiens (human). Its description in RNAcentral is "HSALNT0340450". Lineage: Eukaryota; Metazoa; Chordata; Mammalia; Primates; Hominidae. The record is from RNAcentral.
GAAAAGAAGAAAGAAGUUUAUAGCUUAUUUGGAGGAUUAAAAUUAAAACACACAAAAAGUAAAGAAUGCGAAACAGUAUAAAACUGAGGUCACUAAAUGAAAUACUUGUGUUAAAAAGUUGUAGAAAAUAUAUCUAAGAUUAUAAGGCUAAAAGGAGACAAAAUAGUUAAGAGUUGACAUGAUAAGGAAAAUAAAAAUCCCACUUGUAAGAAUUUGUUUUAAAAGAGUAAACAGACAUGUGCAAAGCUCUAUGUAUGAAGCUGUAUCUCAGCAUAAAUUACAAACAAUCUUGAUAUUCAACACUGGAUUAGUUAAAUAAAUUAUAAAAUAUCCAUAAAGCAAAUACACCAAAAUGAUUAAAAAUAAUCCUUUCAUAGGUAUAUGUAUGUGAAUGAAAAAUGAUAAUAUAUCAGAGUAUUAUUUCUAAUAUUUUAUAAAACUACACAUACACAAAAUUUUAAAAAGCUAUAAAGAGAAGUAACCUCUGAUCCUUGAAUUAAGGAAAACAUUUAUUUCCUUCUUUUGUUUAUCUCUAUUAUCUGCAUUUUUAUAGUAUGCAUUUACUUUUUGUAAUUCAAAUAAGAGCUGAAAGAUAAUCUUAGUAUCUCAGAACAAUCUGGAACUCAAUGUUGGCAUUCCCUCCUUUUCUCUCUGAAUCCAAAAUUAGAUAUAAUAAGAUUAAGUCCAUAAAAAAGUUUUGAAAUAAAUAAAACACUCUACUUAAAGUAAUAAUAAUAAAAAAGACAUAGCCAUUAUAAGUUUUUAAGGAAGGUAUGAUGGUUAUUUUAUGCAUAAACUUGACAGGGCCACAGGGUGCCCAGACAUUUGGUCAACCAUUAUUCCAAGUGUGCCUGUGAGUUUGUUGUUGGAAGAGAUUAACUUGUGAAUCAGCAAACUAAGUACAGUAGCUCUCAACCAAUCAACCGAAGACAUGAAUGGGGACAAAAAGGCUACGAGGGAACUUUGCUUGCCUCGCUGUUUGAGUUGGGACAUUGGUCUUCUCUGAUCCUCAAAGUGGAACCACAUCACCAGCUUUCCUGGCUUUCCUGCUUGUCAACUGCAGAUCUUGGGACUGAUCACAUGAUUCAAUUACUCAUAAGUCACAUGCAUAUGACUAGUCUCUUCUGUAGUUGUCAGGGUUCUCCAGAGAAACAGAAACAGAAGCAAUAGGAGAUAUAUCUCUUAUUACAUUAAGUCUCCUAUUGCUUCUGUUUCUCUGGAGAACUCUAAUACAUAAAAGAUUAUGAUUAGAAUUAUGCUUGAAGAAGGUUAAUCUUAUAAUGGCAUGCAGAGCGGAGCUGGGCAAGGCCAGAGGCUAAAUAUGGAGCCAGAAAGAUACUGCAGAAAGUGAGCAAAAAGGAUGAGUGGAUGGCCUGGGGUGGAAUCCGUGAAAAAGGGCAGAUUGUCAGUCUCAGGAAAUCAACAGGACUGAGUUCUAACUUCAGCUGGGCUACUAUGCCCUGGGGAAUCAGAAGAUUCUCCCUAACAUUGGAGUCCAAAGAAGAGGAGCCACCAUCUCCUUAACUACAAAACAACUGAGAGAAGAAAUGUCUCCCUUUAGUGCCAGUGAAGAGUUUUGCUUCUCUAGAACAACUGUUUAUUUUUGAUCUUAUGAAACGCGUGACACUUGUAACUGAUUUGCCUUCUUUUUGCUUGCUGCUAGAAAUCUCAGAACCAAAUUCGAGGUCAUUUCUGAAUGUGCUGGACUACACAGCAUGAAUUCUGUGUCCUCUCACCUCAUUCAUAGAUACAUUUUUUUAUUCCUACCCAUCUUUUCCUUUCCCCAGAUUUUCCUAUUGCUCUUUUAUCAUCUUGAGUAAAGAAGGUUAAACUAUGAAUAAAAAGUACAAUCUCAAUGACGAGUCAGGGAAAAGUAAGUUUUGGACUUCCAUUUAGAGCCAUUUAUAGGUCAGCAAUCUUUUGUCUCUGUGUCUUCUUUCUGCCCUGAACAACCAAGGCAUCCUAGUCAGUCUCUCUUCAUCUGCAUACCACUUUAAAGAGCCCAGGGGUCUUCCAAGUACAGUCACUACUAAGAAAAUGUCUUCAGUAAAUUUUUUUUUUUUUUUUUUGAGAUGGAGUCUCGCUCUGUCGCCCAGGCUGGAAUGUAGUGGCACGAUCUCAGCUCACUGCAAGCUCUGCCUCCCGGGUUCACGCCAUCCUCCUGCCUCAGCCUCCCAAGUAGCUGAGACUACAGGCACCUGCCACCAUGCCCGGCUAAUUUUUUUUGUAUUUUUAGUAGAGACGGGGUUUCACUGUAUUAGCCAGGAUGGUCUUAAUCUCCUGACCUCAUGAUCCGCCCGCCUCGGCCUCCCAAAGUGCUGGGAUUACAGGCGUGAGCCCCCGCGCCCAGCCUUCAGUAAAAUUUUAAUGCAUGUUGCUUAUCAUUCUUUGUAUUGUAAGCACCAAUCCUUAAUCUGUGCUGUGGUUUUUGUUCAGAAACAUUUCUUUAAAAAAAUUUCCCCAGACGCUCAGCCUUCAUAUUCUAAUCUUUAUUAUUCUGAACUACCUACAAAGCUAAAUAUACCUUGUCUACAUGCAGUGCUUAUGUAACAAUGGUGCUUAUUUUGUUUUACAUUGCUUCAACCUCUGACCAGAAACUUAGAGGACAGAAUGCCCUGCUUUUACAAAAAAUGUGGUGACCACAACGGUAACCUUAUCUAAUUGAGACCAUUUUAGGAAGGAGGGGAGGAGAUAUUUUUACUGCAAAGACUGAGUCAUAAGCCUUCAUUUUUUACCCUGGGUUGUGCAGAAACUUUAAACUUUCUAUAUUAUUUCAUUUCUUCCAUACCAGGACAUUUAUUUCCUAUUCAGUGACAAUCUUGAUGUCUUCAUCCUUCAAACUGCUCUCUAACAUAGUUUCAAAAUCCAAGCAUUAAACAUUAUUAAUGCUCAGGGGAUGAAUAUGUUCAUUACCUUUACUGUAGUGAUGAUUUCCUAUGGCAAAAUGUUAAAUGAUGUAAAGAUAAAAAUAAUUAUCAUAGUUAUUAAUCAUAGCAAUAAAACUGGACUACCUAAAGCACA